UCCUCUCCCACUUGCGCCGCUUGCCUCCUCCUCUUCCUCCUGCCUCACCUCUCUAACCCUAGACCCGCACACGCCUCCGUCCAGAUCGAAACCCACGCCGCCGUCAUCUCGUUCGCCCAGCAGGCCGCCGCCGCACCGCACGAGGUGGGAUGUGACCCUUGCCCCCGCCGUCUCCUCGGCCCAGCCGACCACCCCUCCUCUGUGCGCCCCCCUCCUCCUUCCCAUCGGGAUCGGCCGCGGCAAGCCCUCGUCCCCCACCUCGCCGCCCCCGAGCCAGAGGACGAGGGCCUCAUGCGCGACCUCUUAGUGCUCUACCGCGACCCCGCGCACCCGUCACGCCUGCUCGUGAUGUAGUCGCGCCUCCGCCGUGGUGCCCUCCUCGACUCCAAGCUCUCCGAGGUGCUCAACCUCGCCAGUUCCCUCGAGGGGUCCCAUGACGGCUUCGAACACGCUGAGUCCACUGCCAAGGGCGCGCCACCACAUCUCAUCAUCCAGAGCCUCCGGCGGGCGCAACCAUGCUGGUACCCAGCUAACUUCUCCGUGCCUACUGCUUAGCUCAAGUGGGAGUGCUUUUUUGCUUUUAGGGGAUUGUGUGCGGGGAGGAGCAUCUUUUAUUUUUUUCUGAAUAGGAGGAGGCACAUUUAGCUUAUUCUUCCACCAUUGUUAAAGCUACAGAAGUUGGAUAGCGGAAUCAUAGAACUCUGCAAAUAUUCUGCGCCGGUUGGACGGCGUUCAGGCGCAACCCCGGCAUCCACUGAGUACUGCCUCUGCUACAACCUCCCUCGGUGAGCUCCAUCUUCCUCCCGCUCCUCUGCUUCGGCUACUGUAUGGGGGCAUGGCCGUGGCUAUGUUAUGUGGUGCUUGUCUGGUUGAUGCUCUAUGCCCUACUCAUCCAUCGGUUCCUACUUGAGCUCUAUAGUUGUGGAUCCAUGCUAUUCUAGGGUUUGCAUGCUGCUGUUCAUGUUUACUUGCUAUCAUAGGAGCUCAUGUGCUUCUCUGGUUUACAUGUGGAUGCCCUGGUCCUAUAGCUAUGCUUCUGGAUUUGAUUUCGGAUGCGUUUUGGGCCGUUGGAUCUUUCCCCGCCCGCUGGAUCAAAAAGAGACACUUAGCUGGCGCAAGGCUAUGAUGAUCGGUUAUGGCUGUUAUAAGCAUGCUCUCUAGCAAUCGAGGCACUUGUGGGUGUUAAGUACGACCUCCCCUUGUUUCUUUAAGCCAUUUUGAUCAUGUGCUUAUUUUAGUGGCUCUACCCUUGGAUGUUCAUUUCUGAUGAGUGAUAACCAGGGCAGUUUCACCCUUGUGAGAACACAUUGAUCUGGCGAUGGAGACACUAGGGGAAGGGACGAAGGGUAAUGAUCGAGCAAAGGCGAAUCUGAGGCCAUGUGUGUGCUGGCUCCUGGUUAGUCAGUGCGUCAAUGAGGUGAGGGAGGCCAUUCUUUCUAGGGCGAUGAUGAUUAACAGUGACUGAAAUAAGUGUGCAUUUGAGCAAUCGAGGCACCUGUGGGUAUCGAGUUGGAUCCUCCCUCUUGUCUCUUGAAUCCUUUUUGAUCAGGUGAUACUUAUUGUUCUGUCCUUGGAUGGCCACUCUUGUUGAGAGGUAACCAGGGCAGCUCCAUUGUAUAAACAAAUUGAUCUGGUGAUAAGAGAUGACGGGAGUAGGUUAUGUGAACGAGUAAAGGUGAAUCUGAGCCCACCAUGCAAUGAACCCUUUAUUUGUAUUUAAAGGUGUCGCUUAUUUAUGCUCCAGUGCUUAUAGCCGUCUUGUAUACAGAUUUCUUCUCUCUCAUAUCUUUAUUGCAUAUAAUUUGUUCUUGAUAUUUCUUAUUUGUUGUUGGUCCUUGAUUUAAUCUGGUUAAAAGUAGGUUGAACUUUAUUAUGCUAGACAGACUCGCUUCCAGUAUUUAUAAUUGUCUUAUGUAAUGAUUUCACUGAUGUACUGUUAGCAUCUUGAUGUGAUAUUUUGGUUACUUAGUUUGUUUUUGGUUCAAUUGGUCCCUUAGUUACUUCCUCGGUCCACAUGGCUACCACCGAAUAGAUUUUCUGUAUUUUUGUAUAUUUUGCUUAAAUCCCAUGCACCAUUUAUGCAUUUUCUAUACAUUUUUAAAAUUCUCAGCUUUAUGAAAGUGGAACAUUUCUGUUCUCUUGUUGGUUAUAAAGAUAACAGUUCGCCGUCUCCCUUAUCCCGCGUCGUCGCCUGCCUCUUCUCCUCCACUCCUCCUUUCGUUUUGUUGCUCAAUCCUCUCUGUAGUCCUGCUCCCUGGUCCAUGAGUCGUCGCUGGGUUGGUCGCCGAGGGGCUCCGAUGGCGGCGCGCUGGGGUGACGCCAGCUAAGGUCCGUUGUUCUCCUCCUCACUUGGCCUAGAUUUGCUGUGCCGCUGGUCGAUCUAUGCUGGUCUUCGCGUUUUCAUCAGGAAACUACAGCUUGUUUCAGUUACAACUGAGUUCUUGGGUUCCACUUUGUUGUUGGAAACUACUUACUGGUGGAGCUGCUGCUUGGUUCAUAGGAUCAUCUUGCUGUGGUCGCGUGAAAGGAUGGUGUUCGUGAUCUAUAUCAUGGAAAAUAUUUCCUGGAAUGCGUCUAGGGUAUGUGGAAGACUGGAUUUGAUAUUAUCCUGGAAUGGCAACUAUUGGUGUGCAACUGAAGAAUAUAUUUCAUGACCGAGAGAUGGUAUUUGGAGAAUCUUAGUUUUGAUAUGUACAUGAAUCUUCUUUUAUUUUGUCGUGCAACUGAAGAUAUGGGACUAUUUGCUCUGUGUAUCUCUUAUAAAUAAGGAAAUGGACUAUAGGUAAAAAAAUUCUAUUUUAAUUAUAUUAUGUUGUAGAUGAUGCAUGGUUCCUGAAUCUUUGUGCUUUGUACUGAACUUGAUGCAAACCAGUUGUCUUAUCUGGCACUGCCAAUCUGGCUUUUUGAAACAAACUUUGUGAUGUGCUUGCAAAAUUAAUUACCCUA
Triticum aestivum (bread wheat) is the source of this 2946-nucleotide long non-coding RNA. RefSeq lists it as uncharacterized. The record is from RefSeq and is a predicted model, not a curated record. The transcript is spliced from 7 exons. Lineage: Eukaryota; Viridiplantae; Streptophyta; Magnoliopsida; Poales; Poaceae.